RNAcentral lists this ribosomal RNA (810 nucleotides) under Nectria pseudotrichia. RNAcentral's name for it is "partial large subunit ribosomal RNA". It matches the Rfam family "Eukaryotic large subunit ribosomal RNA", at positions 92 to 933 of the family's 3401-position model. Lineage: Eukaryota; Fungi; Ascomycota; Sordariomycetes; Hypocreales; Nectriaceae. The record is from RNAcentral.
AGUGAAGCGGCAACAGCUCAAAUUUGAAAUCUGGCCCUCGUGGUCCGAGUUGUAAUUUGUAGAGGAUGCUUUUGGUUAGGUGCCUUCCGAGUUCCCUGGAACGGGACGCCAUAGAGGGUGAGAGCCCCGUCUGGUUGGAUACCGAGCCUCUGUAAAGCUCCUUCGACGAGUCGAGUAGUUUGGGAAUGCUGCUCUAAAUGGGAGGUAUAUGUCUUCUAAAGCUAAAUAUUGGCCAGAGACCGAUAGCGCACAAGUAGAGUGAUCGAAAGAUGAAAAGCACUUUGAAAAGAGGGUUAAAAAGUACGUGAAAUUGUUGAAAGGGAAGCGCUUGUGACCAGACUUGGGCCCGGUCAAUCAUCCAGGGUUCUCCCUGGUGCACUUGGCCGGCCCAGGCCAGCAUCAGUUUGUCGCGGGGGAUAAAGACGUUGGGAAUGUGGCUCCUCCGGGAGUGUUAUAGCCCUUCGUGUAAUACCCUGCUUCGGACUGAGGUUCGCGCAUCUGCAAGGAUGCUGGCGUAAUGGUCAUCAGCGACCCGUCUUGAAACACGGACCAAGGAAUCGUCUUCGUAUGCGAGUGGUCCGGUGUCAAACCCCUACGCGUAAUGAAAGUGAACGCAGGUGAGAGCUUCGGCGCAUCAUCGACCGAUCCUGAUGUUCUCGGAUGGAUUUGAGUAAGAACAUACGGGGCCGGACCCGAAAGAAGGUGAACUAUGCCUGUAUAGGGUGAAGCCAGAGGAAACUCUGGUGGAGGCUCGCAGCGGUUCUGACGUGCAAAUCGAUCGUCCAAUAUGGGCAUGGGGGCGAAAGACUA